UCCCUGGUGGUCCAGUGGCUAAGACUCUGCACUCUAAAUGCAGGAGGCCCGGGUUUGAUCCCUGGUCAGGGAA
Molecule: transfer RNA, 73 nt
Filed under: Tursiops truncatus (common bottlenose dolphin)
Lineage: Eukaryota; Metazoa; Chordata; Mammalia; Artiodactyla; Delphinidae
Also listed under: 1 other name
Description: tRNA-Sup (CTA) (tRNA-Sup-CTA-2-1)
Rfam family: tRNA
About the family: Transfer RNA (tRNA) molecules are approximately 80 nucleotides in length. Their secondary structure includes four short double-helical elements and three loops (D, anti-codon, and T loops). Further hydrogen bonds mediate the characteristic L-shaped molecular structure. tRNAs have two regions of fundamental functional importance: the anti-codon, which is responsible for specific mRNA codon recognition, and the 3' end, to which the tRNAs corresponding amino acid is attached (by aminoacyl-tRNA synthetases). tRNAs cope with the degeneracy of the genetic code in two manners: having more than one tRNA (with a specific anti-codon) for a particular amino acid; and 'wobble' base-pairing, i.e. permitting non-standard base-pairing at the 3rd anti-codon position.
Source: Rfam by way of RNAcentral